Molecule: transfer RNA, 68 nt
Filed under: Lophuromys flavopunctatus (yellow-spotted brush-furred rat)
Lineage: Eukaryota; Metazoa; Chordata; Mammalia; Rodentia; Muridae
Also listed under: 3 other names
Description: tRNA-Asp
Source: RNAcentral
AAGAUAUUAGUAAAUUUAUUACAUAACUUUGUCAAAGUUAAAUUACAGACAAUAAUCUGUAUAUCUUA